CGUUUUAAAAUAAAGGCUUCAUUAUUCUCGUAAAAAGGAGAUUUCCCAUAGCAUCUAGCAACGCAAUACGAGUGAACCAUUUUCGAAAGGGAACAUGCAGUUAGCUAACAUGUAUUAAUUUUAGGUCAAUCAAUGAGCUCCUUAAAGCAAUUAUUACAAGUUGUGAUCAUAAUUUUUAGAAUAUAUAGAAGUUUUCUAUAUAGUGUUGGAUAAAAAGUGAGUCAACACAUCAGCAACAACCUCAUCAUGUAAAUGUAAAUCACAGAGGUCUUGUCUGUAUGUUACAGGGACAGAUGAACACAUGUGUUUAUCCGAUGGAGAGUGGCUCAUUGAGGCUUUGAAUCUUUUGUGGUGGAGCAGGGCCUGCAAGGAAAGGAUCUGAAAUGUCGGCAGACUGGUGUGAGCACUGAGGUUUAAGAGCCACAGCAUCCUGGAAAUGCUAAAGUGCCAUGGAUGAGACCCUGACAUAUCACCUUUUUUGUUCAGGAAAAAACCCCCCCAAAAAACCCCACAGUGAUCAAACAACGUGAAGGCGAGUAAAUAAUGACUGAGUUAAUUGGCACAGCUGUGUUGAGAUGGCAGUGUGGGGUUCACCGCAUGUAAAUACGUGAUUGUUAGAACAAUAAGUUUGAAUAAAGCUUUGUUUCAUGUGUU
Rhinichthys klamathensis goyatoka is the source of this 654-nucleotide long non-coding RNA. RefSeq lists it as uncharacterized. The transcript has 3 exons. The record is from RefSeq and is a predicted model, not a curated record. Lineage: Eukaryota; Metazoa; Chordata; Actinopteri; Cypriniformes; Leuciscidae.